AUAAUUUACAGUGAGGAAUGUUUAAAAACAUGUUUUCAUAAUUAUUUAUGUAGUCCAUAUUUACACAUAUGAUUAUACAUAUGUGAUACAAAACCCUGUUCUCACAAUGGUAAUGUAUAAAAUAAUUGGAUUAACAUUUCUUAGAGAAAUACCGAAAGGUUUGUCAGUUUGGUACAGGAUGUAAACCCUCCCCUCAGGUGGGAAGCCAGGGAAGCGCAACAACGGAAGUAAUUAACAUACUGUGAAUCAAAUGCACAGGUUCAGCUGUUGUCUGGUGACUGCACAAACUUUUACGAAACUGCCACCUCUUACAAACAGUUUAUGAGUUAUGUUCCGGAAAAGAACCCUGGCUUGAACAAAGUCCAAUUUCUUUGCAUUGCCUACAGAAUAUAAUAACAGAAAAAGGCAUCAGUUCGGCACGUGCUUGUUUCGUUUACCUUAUCAAUGCAGCAUAUGGGGCGCACUCGAAAUUACUUGGGAAGGUACCCACUACUGUCAUUUUAACCAGUUCACCGUCUCCUUCUCUUAUAUAUAAGUGUUAACUUACUGAAGAGCGUGUUUCAAACAUUUCUUACAUCAUACUUAUACUGAAGCCUACUUGUAGCUACAAUUUGAUGCUCUGCGUCGUCACUUUUGUUUUUCUGAUAUGCAUACAUUCUGCAUACAACUCACUCGUUUUCAUCCAGCCGACAACUGGAAACAUGACUGGGAUCCUGACUUGCGUAGAGCAGGAAGAAAACCAGUCAAACUGUAGCGUCACGUGAUAGAAUGGCAGUCUCGCGAGAUUUAUGACGUCGCUAUGACGACAAUUUCACACUGAUACCGCCAUUGCUGUGUUAUCAUUAUUGCUAUCACAUUGCCAUUUUUCUGGUGUUAUUUGCCUGGUAUUUUGAUCUUCUCCGUCUGUGAAAAUCAUGAGCUCCUACACCCAAGGUAGAAGAUCUGCAGCCCCUCACUCGCUACUGGUGUAUCACUGAGCAGCCUUCGUCUACCCCUGUGUAUCGCGCCUGAUGUAAAAAACGUAUCAGUGAAAUGUUGUAAUAAACUCCUGGUGAACGUAAAA
This is a long non-coding RNA of Haliotis rufescens (red abalone), 1063 nucleotides long. RefSeq lists it as uncharacterized. The transcript has 2 exons. Lineage: Eukaryota; Metazoa; Mollusca; Gastropoda; Lepetellida; Haliotidae. The record is from RefSeq and is a predicted model, not a curated record.